Molecule: long non-coding RNA, 1151 nt
Organism: Carassius auratus (goldfish)
Lineage: Eukaryota; Metazoa; Chordata; Actinopteri; Cypriniformes; Cyprinidae
Exons: 2
Source: RefSeq, a predicted model, not a curated record
UGUCUGUGUCUGUGUCUGUGUGUGCAGCUGAUGGACCUGAAACUGACGGUGGAUGGUUUGGAGAAAGAGAGAGACUUUUACUUCGGUAAACUGCGUGACAUCGAGCUGAUCUGUCAGGAGAACGAGUGCGACAGCAGCCCUGUGCUCGGGAAGAUCCUGGAGGUGCUCUACGCCACAGAGGAUGGUUUCGCUCCUCCGGAGGACGAGGACAUUGAUGAACAGCCACAGGACCAGGAUGAAUACUGAUCCUCCCUCUCUCUCUCUCUCUCUCUCUCGUCAUGUCAUCCUUCUUUCUUUCUCUCCCUCUCUUUCACUCCAUCCCCCACCAGCAGACACUAGGGGCGUGGUCUAAUAGAGUGAGUAGGGGCGUGCCUAUGCUAAUGAGGUCUGAAUUGAUGCGGUGAAGCUGAUGUUUUAUUGGCUGUGGGUAUAAUGACGAAUCCUGACGACUCGAUGAUGAUGAGGCAGUGACACUUUCACACACACACACACACACACACACACACACUGAUGUAGAGACACACACAGCCAAGGUUAUCAACUAACAUUUGUUUUUUGAUUUGGCUCUAAUCAGCUAAUUUAUUAGAGCUUGACGAGAAUGUAAGUCAUUUGUUUUAUUUGCGUUGUGUUUAGAGGGUUUUACUGUAGUUGCAGUGAAUGAAGUGGUACUAAGAUCGAAUCCCAGACAAAGCGCAGGUUAAAUCAGCAUCAAAUCAACAUGAGGCCUGUUCACUUUCUUAUUCUGUGUGUCUGGUCUUCAUAUAUUCUCCAUCAGACCAGAAACACGUGUCAGGACACUAAACCGAGCCUUCGAGCUGAUUAUAAUCAGUACUGAUAGUGCAGGGGUGAGAGUUUUAUUUAUUUAGGACGGAAAUGAAUGAAUACAAAAUGCUAACUUUGAAUGAAAAAUGCUAUAAAUUCAUAAGAUGAAAAGAGACUCGGCCGUUACUAACGUUUAACUGACUGAUGAUAUGAAACAGAGUUUUCUAGCUGCUAUAUUUUAAUUUAACAUUUCAGUCUCAAGUCUUUUUUAUUUGAUUGACGGGUCGGUUUUGAUUGACAGGCCAGUGUCAUUAACCCUUUCACACCUCAUCAAACAUGCAUCCAUGUGGAGUUUUACCAUGUAAAAUAAACAGUGUGUGAGGAAUGAA